AUGACCGGAGCGCUGUGGUGCCAUGAAGCAGAGCAUUCAUCUCCAGCAGCUCCGUCUGGAGGAUGGAGCAGCCUCAGGCACCUCGGUACAAAUGCUCCCGACACUGUGAGAGCUUCCCACAACUUCCCAGCCAGGCAGCAGCUCCCCGGGGGGAUAGCAGGCAUGGCACCGGUGUCCCAGCCUGUGCAGGGCACUUUGGUGGCUUGUAAGGUGGGAGGUGGAGAGGAAUGGCCCAAAACGAGUGGAGAAGCAGGAGCGGUUCAGCAGCUACUGCUCUCCCAGGUGAUGGGCUCAUGGCAGCGGAUGCUGUGAGCAUCCUGGCGUCUUGAUGAGCAGCAGAGAAAACAUUUUUGCCUGGGUCCGGUUGCAGCAGGACCUGUGAGGUCUUGGGGGGAUACAGGCUGGGGCUACAAGUAGAAGGAAACGCUUCUGGAUUUCAGGCUUCACUGAGGAGGGAGGCUGGUGCCAGGGAAGCCAAGCUAAAAAAUCCCACUGGAACCAUUGCUUCUGGGCUCAGACACCUCCAGACAGAGUGUGCUUGGGGGAUUCGUGCCUGGAAAAAGCACCCAAGAGGGAAAAGGAGGGCCUGAGGAGAGGCACACUUGGAGAGUGAGGGAGGCUGCCAUGCUGCUCGCUCCCCGUCACUUGAGGCAGCGCUUCUUUCCUGUAUGUUUAAUAUGCAAAUAUUUAAUGGGGGUGUAUUAGAGCAUAAAGGCCAUAACUUGAGACCUUUCAGUCAAGAUUAAACAGGUGCCAAGGCUUUCUUUUCAAGGCCGGGAACAGCUGUGAGCCUUCCCUUCCCCAUACGUGAUUACAGUACGUCGCCGGGGCCUUUUCCACGGCCCUCCCCCUCCGUGCCGCUCUCCCUCAAAGACCCCUUUUUGUCUUUCCGCAAGACACCGUCCUAGUGAUUCAAAGGGAGCAGGAAAAAAAAGAAGUGUGAUUUAUUAGCUCUGGUGUGGAGGGCAAGGUUUUGACCUCAGGUGUGAAUCUGAGAAAAAUAUUAUUUUCCUGACAGCCAGCCCUCUCAGAGUGAAUUAAAACUGCUAUUGUGAGGAAAUGUAUUAAAGCCAUUUCGGCUUUUAUGACAAUAUCAGUGCAGCUACUCUAUAGAGUGCCUAGGAUGUAGAGUCGCCCCAAGGUGCUUUAUAAUCAUCAGUUUAAAGGGAGAGAAUUUGCCUGCAGAGAUGAAUCAAUGGGUGUAUUUUAUGAAACAUUAAUGACUGCUUUUGUAGAUGUAAAUUUGGGGGUAUGUUCCUGCAUCUCUCUGUGCUGUCCUGCAGCUGCAACUUAAGCCCGCUUGUUGUUAGUG
This 1312-nucleotide long non-coding RNA is filed under the name Anas platyrhynchos platyrhynchos (common mallard). RNAcentral describes it as "lncRNA (ENSAPLG00000019898.1)". Lineage: Eukaryota; Metazoa; Chordata; Aves; Anseriformes; Anatidae. The record is from RNAcentral.